CAGUAGCCGCGGGAAUACGUAUGUCACGAGCGUUAUCCGGAUUUAUUGGGCGUAAAGCGCGUCUAGGUGGUUAUAUAAGUCUGAUGUGAAAAUGCAGGGCUCAACUCUGUAUUGCGUUGGAAACUGUAUAACUAGAGUACUGGAGAGGUAAGCGGAACUACAAGUGUAGAGGUGAAAUUCGUAGAUAUUUGUAGGAAUGCCGAUGGGGAAGCCAGCUUACUGGACAGAUACUGACGCUGAAGCGCGAAAGCGUGGGUAGCAAACAGGAUUAGAGACCCGCGUAGUCCCUGUCUCUUAUACA
Molecule: ribosomal RNA, 301 nt
Filed under: uncultured bacterium
Lineage: Bacteria
Description: partial 16S ribosomal RNA
Rfam family: Bacterial small subunit ribosomal RNA
Source: RNAcentral